Molecule: long non-coding RNA, 3102 nt
Organism: Sciurus carolinensis (gray squirrel)
Lineage: Eukaryota; Metazoa; Chordata; Mammalia; Rodentia; Sciuridae
Exons: 4
Source: RefSeq, a predicted model, not a curated record
CAGACGCUGACCUCUCACCCCGUCCAGCCCCGAUGGCCCGACAAGGCCUGUCCACCCUCGUCCCCAUGGUGCAGGCUUCCUGUCCCCAUAAAGGCUUGGAGAGCAAGUGGGCCACCCCCUCCUGGGCCCGAGCCCUGCCCAAGCCCCUCCUCCACGCAGGCUCGAGGCCGAUGACCUUGGCAGUGGUCAGCAUGGGCCAGGAGCUGGGCCCCGGGGCCUCCACCCACCGGCAGCCCUCCAGCUGUCCUCUGCCUGGAGGCCCUUCCAGAGCCUUCUCUGUGGUCCUCGCCACUCUCAGCGAGGACCUGACCGCAGCAGCCACCCACGCCCUGCCGCACGGCCUCCCUCCCGCCUGCCUCCAGGGUGAGCUCAGGGUGGAGUCUCCCUGGUGCCGAGGAACCCGUGCGUCCUCAGGGUCCUGAGGAAAGCCAGCCCCUCUUCCCACAUGGCCAGCAAGCGGAAAGACGCCAGGCCGGCAGGCAGCCCAGGCCUCCGGUGGGCACCAGCACUGAGCCGGCUCUGCCCCCAGGUUGCCCUGGCUGGACUGGGGGUCCUCACAGAGCUUCUGGGGGUCAUGGUCAUCCCCUCUUCACACUGAGGCCCAGAGAGGCAGGGCCCCUGGGUUUAAUGCCGCUGUCCACACACCUCGCCCCGCCCCCCACGGCCCCUGGGGGAGGUGAGGCCCUGAGGGUUCUGCGAGGCCCUGGCUCCCAGCCCUGGGCCCCCGCACACCUCGCCUGCUGCGCCAGGUCCCAGGCCGGACUUCCUCUCGCUCCGGGCAGGAGUCCACCCAGGAGUCUGCACGGCCCUCGGCCCGCGGCCCGCCCUCCCGGCCAUAGGGCGGUGGAUGCGUGGGGAGGGGCAGCCUCUUCCCACAGAGUCAAGGACGUGGGCUCCUCUGGGAGCGUCCUCCACGCCUCCCCGCCCCAGGGAAGGCUGGGUCUGGAAGCUGCAGGGGGCUCAGUGAGGGCCGCCUGGGGUCUGCGGCGUUGGCGGUCUCCCUGCGGCUGUGUCGUGGGGCGGUGUCGGGCGUGCGCGUGCCGCCGGGUGCUCUGCAGGCCAUCUGCGGGCCCUGCUCUGCUCCUCUGGCUCUGGCCGUGGCAGGGUGCUGGGUGGCUUUGAAGGGGAAGUGGUGACCGGCUGGGGUGGCUGGGGGCGGCCGGGGUCCUGGGAACGCUUAGGCCUUAUCGUUGAUCAAAGCCGGGAGGAGCCUCCUGACAGGCAGGGUGUGGCCCGCCUGGCUCUCGUUAGGUACAGCUUGUUCCCAGGCCUGCUCCUCCUCAGCCUGUCCGUCACACCUGGGGGCCAGCGUGCCGGACCUCCGGCCUUGGCUCUCCCACAGUGUAGGCCAGCCACGGCGCCCGGCCAGGGCACCCCACGGCCCCUGCCCCUGCCUGCUGGGCCUGGCACGGUGUGCUGCCUCCCCGAGACCCUCCUCCCGAGACCCCCCGUCCCCAGGGUUGCUCCCAGAAGCCUACCUGGGCGGCAUGGUCCCAAACCGAGAUCCCUCUUCUGUGCAGACUGGACACCAGGGGACCAGAAGGGCCUCCCAGUCCCGUGCACAAGGCCUCUCAGCCAUCUACCCUCAGCCACCGUGGUCUGGAUCUUAAACAUCCCCUCAAAUUCAAAGGGGACAGCGGGACCCCAGUCUCUUCCUCUUUUUUUUUUUUCUUAUGUCCUGGUCAUGAUGCGAGUGAUCCUGCUCCCCCUCACGCCCCACCUUGAUGUGCUGCCCCCCACAAGAGGCCUGGAAGCACGAUCAGGGCUGAAGCCUGAGGAACCGUGAGCAAAGCAAACGCACAAGGAUGAGUCUGAGGAGCUAAGACCCCAUUGGGGCGAGGGCAGGAGUCUGGUGCGGACGUUAUCCCUGCCUCUCGACUUUGGGACGCACACUCUCCCUCCUUGGUGGCUGCCUCCAGGUGCCCUGGCUGGCCGCUGGCUACACAUCCGCAGGAGCUCACCAGCCUCGCCCGCAGGGCCACCUCGGAGGAGGAAGCCGAGACGGGUGGGCGACUCGGCCUGAGACCUGUGCAGGGUCUCGGCAGGGGCUGGGCACUCUGGAGAGCCAGCUCUGCCUCUGAGCUGCCAGGGGCACCCCAUCUCCACGUCCAGCCACCGUGCCCAGAGGGGCGGCCCAGGGCCCACUCAGUGGGGCCACCCCAGACCUGACCCGUGCCACAGGGCACCAGUGGCCACAGGAAGGAUGCCUGAAGGAGGGGCGGCUCACGCCGUGGGACCUGGCACGGGCCCUCCAGCCCACCCGGCCCGCCCAGUUUCUGGCCUGGAUCCGCCCAGGGCCUGUACUAGGCCCGUGCUGUACCUCUGAGCUGCCCCCAGCCUCCUGUCUCUCCGGCUGUGAAAUCCAUACACACUUACAGUAUCCCCGGACAGUAGCUGUUCGUCCACAAGACUUUGAAAGCCGAGUGCUAGGACUUCCUGCAGACUCUUCUGGACAGGGGCCUGUUGGGAGGGUACUCGGCUGCACGGUGUGCAACCUGCUCGGCAGACACAGUCUGAGUGACCAAGUGGGGUACAGGGACACUGGAUCAUCUUCAAGCUAUUUCCUGCAGUUUUCGCCAUCGUGACAAAUAUCCCAGAGAAGUUUCUUGCUCUCCAUAUUCUAAGUCGCAUUCUUAAAAAUGGAAUCCCUGCAGGGGCAUUAUGGGUCCCUUCUGGGACGCCACGUGCUCCAUCCGGGAAGGCCGUCUGGGUUAAGUGCUUCCACUUACACAGAGGAGGUUAUCCAGGUGGCAAAGUGAGCCAUGGAAACUGGUCCAAUUAUCCGAUUUUUGCUGGAAGGGAGGAAAAUAUCUAGUUUGUGGAAAAUGUUUGCAUACUGUUACAUCUUUACGUGUUGUGUAACUAUACACGCACACCAUGUCUUUGUAUGUAACACGUAAAGAUACACAUUCAAUAUGUGGAAUAUAAUACAAAUACGUAGAACAUGCUUUGCAAAUGUGCUUGUGGUCUCUGAGUGACGGGUGCUUGCCCAACACAAUCUGGGUUAGAAUAUAUUCAUAUAAAAUGUAAAUGCCAGUAAAAUGAAACCAGGGAAAGGAUGAGUAUGGUCCCACAACAUAAAUAAACAUAGAACAUACACUG